CAAACCAAAGCUGGCGACCGGCGCACGGGUGAGUAACACGUAUCCAACCUGCCUCAUACUCGGGGAUAGCCUUUCGAAAGAAAGAUUAAUAUCCGAUAGCAUAUAUUUCCCGCAUGGGUUUUAUAUUAAAGAAAUUCGGUAUGAGAUGGGGAUGCGUUCCAUUAGUUUGUUGGGGGGGUAACGGCCCACCAAGACUACGAUGGGUAGGGGUUCUGAGAGGAAGGUCCCCCACAUUGGAACUGAGACACGGUCCAA
RNAcentral lists this ribosomal RNA (255 nucleotides) under uncultured bacterium. Its description in RNAcentral is "partial 16S ribosomal RNA". It matches the Rfam family "Bacterial small subunit ribosomal RNA", at positions 74 to 334 of the family's 1533-position model. The record is from RNAcentral.